CUGAUCCUGCAAAGUGGCACUGGUUGCCUACCAGCUAGCCUCUGUCCGAGCAGGCCACUUCACCGUUACUUGAAGCUGCUGCCGGCUAAAAGAAGCUGAGCAAGCUCCGUGCGCAUAUGCCCACUGAUGUAACCUGGAGAGAUGGUCACUUCUGUGCACACCAUCCUUCCUGGCCAAGUCGUGUGGAAAGGCAUCCAAGACACCCUUUGCCUUGGAUCACUUUCUGCAAGAAGAUCGA
Long non-coding RNA from Ornithodoros turicata, 238 nucleotides. RefSeq lists it as uncharacterized. The record is from RefSeq and is a predicted model, not a curated record. The transcript has 3 exons. NCBI's taxonomy places the organism in Eukaryota, Metazoa, Arthropoda, Arachnida, Ixodida, Argasidae.